Molecule: ribosomal RNA, 253 nt
Filed under: uncultured bacterium
Lineage: Bacteria
Description: partial 16S ribosomal RNA
Rfam family: Bacterial small subunit ribosomal RNA
Source: RNAcentral
UACGUCGGGUGCAAGCGUUAAUCGGAAUUACUGGGCGUAAAGCGUGCGCAGGCGGUUUUGUAAGUCUGUCGUGAAAUCCCCGGGCUCAACCUGGGAAUUGCGAUGGAGACUGCAAGGCUAGAAUCUGGCAGAGGGGGGUAGAAUUCCACGUGUAGCAGUGAAAUGCGUAGAGAUGUGGAGGAACACCGAUGGCGAAGGCAGCCCCCUGGGUCAAGAUUGACGCUCAUGCACGAAAGCGUGGGGAGCAAACAGG